UACGUAGGGGGCAAGCGUUGUCCGGAUUUAUUGGGCGUAAAGGGCGUGUAGGCGGCAGAUUAAGUUGGUUGUAAAAGGCAGUGGCUCAACCAUUGUAAGCAACCAAAACUGGUUUACUUGAGUGCAGAAGAGGAGAGUAGAAUUCCCGGUGUAGCGGUGGAAUGCGUAGAGAUCGGGAGGAAUACCAGUGGCGAAAGCGGUUCUCUGGUCUGUAACUGACGCUGAGGCGCGAAAGCGUGGGGAGCAAACAGG
This 252-nucleotide ribosomal RNA is filed under the name uncultured bacterium. Its description in RNAcentral is "partial 16S ribosomal RNA". It matches the Rfam family "Bacterial small subunit ribosomal RNA", at positions 524 to 776 of the family's 1533-position model. The record is from RNAcentral.